UCUACAGCCAUGCCAGCUUGAAUGUGCCCAACCUUGUCUGAUCUCAGAAGCUAAGCAGGGAUGGGUCUGCUUAGUACUUUGUAUGAAGGAUAAGACGUCAGUUUGAAAAAAAGCCCCUAUCAGAG
Molecule: ribosomal RNA, 125 nt
Organism: Rhinopithecus bieti (black snub-nosed monkey)
Lineage: Eukaryota; Metazoa; Chordata; Mammalia; Primates; Cercopithecidae
Source: Ensembl